RNAcentral lists this ribosomal RNA (301 nucleotides) under uncultured bacterium. Its description in RNAcentral is "partial 16S ribosomal RNA". It matches the Rfam family "Bacterial small subunit ribosomal RNA", at positions 509 to 807 of the family's 1533-position model. The record is from RNAcentral.
CAGUCGCCGCGGGAAUACAGAGGGUGCGAGAGUUAAUCGGAUUUACUGGGCGUAAAGCGUGCGUAGGCGGCUUCUUAAGUCGGAUGUGAAAUCCCUGAGCUUAACUUAGGAAUUGCAUUCGAUACUGGGAAGCUAGAGUAUGGGAGAGGAUGGUAGAAUUCCAGGUGUAGCGGUGAAAUGCGUAGAGAUCUGGAGGAAUACCGAUGGCGAAGGCAGCCAUCUGGCCUAAUACUGACGCUGAGGUACGAAAGCAUGGGGAGCAAACAGGAUUAGAUACCCCUGUAGUCCCUGUCUCUUAUAC